This is a long non-coding RNA of Hemicordylus capensis (graceful crag lizard), 11842 nucleotides long. RefSeq lists it as uncharacterized. NCBI's taxonomy places the organism in Eukaryota, Metazoa, Chordata, Lepidosauria, Squamata, Cordylidae. The transcript has 2 exons. The record is from RefSeq and is a predicted model, not a curated record.
ACAUUUGGGACUGGCAGUGCCCAUAUUAAACUGGGAGAAGGUAUUUAAGGCAAAGUAUGCCCCUGUCAUGUUUAUUAAGGGGGGGGGGCUCUCUAAACCCCGAGAGCCCAUCAGAGAAGCCUUCAAAUGCAGCCGCGGGACCCUCCCGCUUUUUCUUUCAAAUACCCGAGAGAGGAAGGACGAGGACGCCGCAGCCGCCACACUCCCCCCGCCCCCCUCCUGUCCUCACCCGGCCACAGUUCCCAUAGCACAAGUAGACGGCCCAGUAUGAGAGAGCCUGUGACCGGCACCAAAACCAGCAAUGUGGCCAUGAGGACUCCAGCCCUCAGCAUGGCUUCUCCCCGUACACAGUUUUCUCUCGGCCUGCCAUGGCGGUUCCAACGGCCCUUAGACUGGAGGGAGCGAGUGAGCGAACACCCGGGAAAAUGGCGGGAGGGGCCAUGGCUAUUCCGCUGUCGCGGCCGCGCGCGAAGAAAUUGGAGGGCUGAGUGACGCGACGCUGGUCGUUAAGGCAGCGCGAAUGCGGGGGGGGGGGAUGUGGCUUGGCACGGCCAGCUCGCUCGCGACUCCAGUCCGCUCCAGCCCCAGAGAGUGCGCGCCGUAACUAGGGAGAGAUGCAGAUGUCUCCAGAGGGGUGCAAAAAGCUUCUAAGCUAUGCUUACACGUUUUGUUUUGUGUCCAUUAGUUCUUCAAAGGUGCCCAAACUGCUCACAUUGCUUGCUACCUACCGCGCUGUAAUUGCUGCUAGGGUAGUAGUUCGCUCUAAUUAUGUACGGUUAAUGGGCUGUGGUGACAGAUGCUUAAAUCAAACGAAAGGGUUUGGUAGAAACCGUGUGGUCACAGCAACUAGUCUUACGGGUGUGGCACUUUGGGUGGAGUUAGGUGUACUUUCUAUGUGUAUGAGUGGGCUGCAAGAAAAAGAAAGGGAUUAGAAGAAUUGCCUCCUGAAAUAAGAGACAUCUGUCCCACUGAGUUGAUUAACUUCCUCCCAAAUCAGUGUGCACAGGAUUUCAGUUUAUAUCACUGUCUGAAUGGUAAAACUUCUUGUACUUUGAAAACUAUAUGUCUGAAAAGCUAAAACAAUCUAAGUGGUAGCAAUACGCACAUAAAAAUCUUUAAUAUUCAUAGACUGGUGCAAAGAAAAAUUAAUCAUGCAGGAAAAAUACCACCAACCCAGCAGGAAACCCAAUAGUCAGUGAAGAAAAGCCAGUACAAAUACCCCCCAAAGACCCAACCACUUGGCGAGCAAGCAGUAAUUCACUGUGGUUCUGCCCAUAUUGACAUAGACUAUUUCCCUGGCAAUUCCUUGAAUUUCAUGCCAGUCUAGAUGUUUAAUAAAUGGGUAAUUCUUGUGAAGCCAUAAGAAGGUUUCACACUACAUGAAAAUGGAACAGAAUGCAGUGCACCCCAAUCUAGGAACAGCUGCUGAAAAGACAUCUCCGUGAGCCUAUACUGUUUGCACUCGGUGAACAAAGGGCAUGUUGAAGAGGUCCAUUCUCAAUGGAACAUCAAGAUUGCAAAAGAACACGUGGGGACGCCGUCUCUAAGUGGUAUAGAGAUCAAGCCAUUCCUGUUAUAAUUUAUCUUUACUUUCCUCCUAGACAGCAAUAGGAAAUCAGUGCCUCUGCUGGAACACUAGUGUAGGGUUUUCCUAGCAACCUGCCACAAGCCACUGAACAAUAUGAAGACAUGGAUAAUGGUUGGCAGGUGCAGUUCUGAGGAAGAUGUUUGUGAGGCAAAAACACUUAAGAUGGUCCUUUCCAUCUGUAGUUGUUAUAUGUACCUAUAUUUUAAAAAAUACAUUUUUUUAAAGCAUCUACUGCCUAAUUAUUAUAUCAAAACCCUUUUUAAUCAGUUAGUCUGGUUAAAUGUUACAGCCCUAAACAUGGCCCCAAAAUGCAAGCAUAAUGAUGAAUCUAGGUCCAUCAUGAGAUACUAUUAUUCAGACUACCCACACUCCUAUCACGCUACAUGCCUAUGGUUUUGUCUGAGAACUGUAACAACAGAAAAAGUUUAUUUUUAAAUGCAAGAAGAAAUAAUCUGGAAGGAUUUAACAGGCUCUUCCUCAAUGGGAACAGUUUCAUUGGAUAGUACUUUGAAAUCAUAAUGGCAGUAGAGAUCAUGCUUGCUUUGCUGCUAUCAUGUCAUAGUUCUGUACUAUCUGUAUUUUACGGUUGUUUGUUGUUUGUUUGUUUAAUUACAACUCACGCACUUCCUAUAUUCUAAUUGCCUACUUUCUGCUAAAGUUGAUUGAGGUCUCAUAGGAGUAAGUGAUUCCAAAGCAAAGGAUGUGUAAGAAUCAAACCAUAUGUGACCUUAAAUGUGUCAGUGUAGGUGUGCCUUUCUAUUGCUUUUUUAAAGAAAAUACCAGCUGCUGAGGGCCCAAUCCAAAUUAGAACUAUGGAUCCCUGCUGCAUCCUUCAACUGUAUUUGCUCUGGGAGGGAAGCUGCUAAUGGUGCCUGUGACAGCUUCCUUCCUAAGGCAAAUAGCAGCCAUGAGUGGGGUGGGAAUCCAGAUUGCAACUGUGCAAGGCAAAAGCCCUUAUGCUGUGGUCCUGAUCUAGAUUGGAAGCGGUGGGCUGCAGCUGGUAUUUAUUUCAAACAUAAGACGGAACUUCACUGAUGCGCUGAAAGUCGUGGUGUGGUUUAGCCCUAAGUGUCAACAGCACUGAUGUGCCCUGAUCACAUAUUUAUUGAUUUAUUUUAUUUUUAUUCUGCGCUUCCUCUCAGGGCUCAAAUUGCACAUAGAGAUUUCCCUUUUUAUCCUCACAAAAGCCCCGGGCAGGGUUGAUGUGGGCCUUGGGACAAAAAGUUAAAGUGGGCCUGUCAUGAAAUUGGCCUUUGCUCAGUCCAAAGGCCCCUUUAAGUUUCUUGUUGGGAAUCAGGUAACCUCUGUGUGUUUCCAUAUGCCAGGAAAGACUGAAAGAGGUCAUUGCACCCCCAGGCCCCAAUGAAGACAGGACACGGUUAGUUGGAGUAAAGAAGGGCCACUUUAUUAAUGUACAGCAGAUAACAAACUUGCAAUGAAGUCCCUAACUAAUCAGAUUGUGGGUACUCCUCCCGUGUGGUGGCCACCUGCUAGUGGGGGCUAUCCCACACCAGGGCGAAGGACCGGGUACUGAUUUUGUCAGGCGCCAUGUCCUGACCUCUCAGCAGGCUUCACCCUGCUGAGCAGGGAGUGGCCCAACCCACCCCAAACCCAAGCUGCCAAAGCUAUGUGCUGGUGAGUCAUGCCACCCCACUCCCUCUGGGCCACCAAAACCCUGAAGAGCUGUUCCUUGACCCCCCCUCACCCCAAAUGGUCCUCCAGCUGAACACCGAUACUGAAUCUACCUACCCAACACCCACAAUCUCCUGCCACAGAAGUGGGGCAAACCUCUGUCCAGCCCCGCUUCCCCCACCCAGAUAGCACUUCCUGAGAACCUCAUGGCAAGUCCCAGAGGAACAACUAAUUCCCCUGGUUGGACAAAUGUACUCUGUCCCCCCUGUACAGCACUGCGUCCUGCACCCAGAUGUCAGGAUGCUGUAUCACUCCACCGCCCAAGGUGAUGACUGCUUUCCCAAUCUCCCUAUUCACUUUCUUGUGUGCUCUAUUGAAUCAGAGGGGUCCCCCUCAGAAGCAGGUUAGACCAAACCAAUCACUUCUACCCAGGUUUUCCUCCUACCUUACUUCCACCACACAACCAAAAAUUGGGAGUACGCACAACUCCCAAACCCGGGUUGAACACAGUUUUUGAUUAUGUGAAUUACCUCAAAGUGUUGUUAACUACCCAAACCUCAUGUAAAUGGAUGCUUCUAUUGUCUAAGGACAAACCAUGAUCAGGCAGAACCAGUAGCAAAAUGGCAGCUUGUAUAAACAUGAUUUAAACUCCCUGGAUUCCAGGAGAAUUUUGCUGCAGGACAGGAGGGGAAGCAGAAGAAACUGGAGAGAAAGUAAAAGCAACCCUGAGCACCCCAAAAGAAAUUUAGAAUGGCAUGGCCAUGACCCCACUCAGCCAGCCAAUCAGAUUUGCAGAUCUGGCUGAAAGGGAAGGAAGGGAGAAGGGAAGUAAAAAUGGUGGAGAUCUACUUCAAAUAAAGUUGGGAGCUGCCUAAUGCCUGCCCCUGCACUGCACCAUGCUGUCUCUUUACAAAGACAUUGGAUGAUUGGGGGGGUGGGGCCGAGGCCAAGGGCAGUCUGAUGUAAAGAACAAAAUAAAUGUGUGCAGGAGAGGGUUCUAAACUGGCCCCCACAUGGUUUAUCUUGCAGUCUGCCUUCCCACCUGUCUCUCCCCUCAAUCUGUCUCACAGUCUUUUGCACCCGUAGUUUAUCCUCGCAGUCCGUUCCAAACAUCAGUUUUCGUCAGCCAGGCUCUGAUACAGGAGGUGCAUCUAGCUGGGAGAAACAUGCUUGGAAAGAAGAGCUGUGGGGAGGGGAGCAGAGGGAAGUUCUGUCCUCCUCCACUUUCUACGUGAUUGAGGCAUAUCUGGGUUUAAACACAUGGAUCUGCUACUGUCACAUGUAUUUUGAGCUAAUAUAAGUAUUUGCCUUGUUAAUUCAUCUUUAGAGCAGGUGUUAUAGCUAGUAAAACACCAUUUAUAUCUGUCUAUAUAAAAAUCAUAUAUUGUUCAUGCACUUACAUAUUCAAAAUACUUUUUCCUGUGAAGUCAGUGUGGUCUCUCUUUGAGCAUGAUUCAAAGUAAAAAGCUGUUUGUCUAAUAUUAGCGGAUUGCUUGGUUAAGCUACUGGUUAAUUGUACAGUAAUGUUUUAUUGGGUAGUGCUCAUGACUAGAAAUCUGACAUCCAGAAUAAUUAAUCUCUCCUGCUGAAGAAAAAGGAUAAAAGGGAGAUACUGAUGGCUACCAGUAUAAGAUGUGAUUUUAUUAUGGCUUUAGUCCUAGCAGUAAGUUGGGCUAACUAGCCCCCAUGCCUACUUGGUUUGUCAUAGACACUUAAGGGUGUUGGUUAAAGGAUGCUUAAGUCUAUUGUAAGUGGUAAGAGGGCAUUUGCUUCCAUUGCUGUACAGAAAUGUAUGUACAAAGCCUAUGAGUAUCUGAGAGUAAGCCAACCUAACUUGUCUCCAGCAUCAGUGGGCAGGGCACUCAGUAUUGUGAAGACAAUACUGAGCUAGAUAGACCAAUGAUCUGACUCAGUAUAUGGCAGUUUCCUAUGUUCCUAUGGCAUACAGGACGUCAAGGAUUCAGGUGGUUAGAAAAUACCAAUGAUUGCAGCAGUAGUUUCUCAGUCUUGAUUACUGUAAAAUGUUUGUUACACUCUAGAGUUUUGAGGUUUUACUUGUGCUAAUAGUGACUAACUCUUAACUAUUUGUGCUCUAGUAGAGUAUUUUUCAGAAUUCUUCCGUAAUCAGUACUGGUGCAGGGAGGGGAAGACCUGCACAUUGCUAACAGGAAGGAACUUAGAAUUGCAGUGGUAUCCUGUAGGAUGUAUAUAUUUCAUUGUGAUAUAUGGUGAUUUACAAAGGGCCACACUUUCAAUUAUACGUUAUGGUAAUUGUGGUAUUAUGAUUACUGGUAAUAUGUCUAAAUAUAGGACAUAAGUACAUCGGUAGAUAUCAUCUAUAUCUCCCGCUUUUAAUGUAUUUUUUAAAAAACUGGUUGAAUGCCUAUAUGAUAUUUUGACUAAAAUUAAGGCAUUAUGAUUACCUAUACUGGACAUGGCUAAUUUGCUGGACACUUGCAAAAAAGAAAGAAAGAAAGAACUGCAAAAAACCUCAACACCACCACAUAUGGGAAGGGAGGGAAUCCUUAUGCUAAUUUUAAGGAUAAUCUCUUGGCUGAGUGAUGCAGAUCCAUUUUGGACAGCCUUGGGCUUUCAGGUCAGGAGGACAGAUUACACAAUAUUCUAUAUGUGUGUGUAAAACUUAAAGAGUUAUGUCUGUGGGGUGGGGUGGUUGUAUGGCUUUUCUCUGAGUCCCUUUUUCUUACACUUCAGAGGUUCCUCCUGAGCUGUUGCAGUGAUCUUUGCUAGAUUAUUAUGUAGGGGAGAGGUAAAUGGCCAUUGUGACUUACAAAAUGAAGAGAGAUGAUUCAAGGAGAAACUUGCACUGAGGCCCACAUCAGAUCCAUGAACUUUCCUUCUGAAUACACGAAUUGCUCUGUCUGAAUAAAGACAUGAAUCAUGCAAUCUACAUUUAACAGCCCAGAGUUACCUUUUGUCCAAAUUAAGUCCCAAAAGUUGGCAAAUAUCAUUGGGAUUCCUUGAAAAGGUACAGAGGGUGAUGUUCUUGAAAAGGAAAUCAUUCAAGCUCUGCCAGAAAUAAUUGAGCAUGAUAAACCUGCUUUGGGUUCCCUCCAAAUAACUCUUAUAGUUGGGAACUUAAUUUUCAUCAUUUGAAGGUCCUGCACCCUUGACAUCUCUUCAAGAAAGUCCAUCAGAUCUCCCUUAGUAGCUGAUUCCCUAAUGUGCCAAUGAUACAGAUGCUGUAUGGAAGCCAAUAAGGAGAGGUGUUUGACUGGCUGUCUGCUUAGGUACUGCCUCUUUAGUGAGGUCACAGUCAGAAUUCUCUACGAGUAUUGGCAGAAUAAGGUCCUUAAAUCAAAUGAGGAAGAAGUCUCAGGAGCUACCUUACCUAAGUAAUUAUAGUAUCUUAGCUAAGAUAGUAAUUUUAAAGGGAGCAAUAAAUGGUGAAAUGAUCCUUGCAGACUUAGCUAUGGGAUAAUCUGGUCUUAAACCAACAGGACCAGUACUGGCUUCCUUCUACCAUUUUGAUAGAGGAUUCCUCUUAUGCCUAUAUCCACUUUGUGAAGCUGACCCCUACCUCUUCUGCUGUAUCCAGUGCUGUAUAUGUUGAGUUCUUGGGUAACACUGGAUAUCUCCCAUUGUUAUCUACCAUGUUCCUAUGGGGAUUCCUUUAGUAAAGAGCUGUAUCAAGACACUGGUCAGUCUAGAUUUAUCCAUAAAUGAUCUUGACUGGGUUCACACAACCACAAGGAUUCUGGUUAAAAAGUUAAUCAGUGAGCCCCAUAGAGCUGAUUGUGUUAACAGAAUUUCAAGAUAAUUCUGGUCAGUUAACUAACAUCCAACUAGGCUAGAUAACCAGGAUUUAACUAGGAUAGUUAACCAAAGCAGCUUGAUCAGGAUUGCAUUGAAAUUCUGGGUUCACACAAUCAGCUCCACUGGGUUCACUAAUACCGAUAACACUUUAAUCAGGAGUCUUGUGAUCAUGUGUACCCAGCCUCUGUCUGAUACGGUUAGCUUUUCUUUUUUUUAAUGGUUAAAUAAUCAUGGAUGCUUUUGUAUCUUAAUAUUCCAUUACUAAUAUGGCAAGUGUAUUUGUUUAUAAAAACACCUAAAAUAACCUAGGUGCACAAAAGUAAAGGAACAGGUCCUAGCCACAAGCUUACAGUCUUUAAAAAUAUGAGACAAACAGAGAGAGGAGCCUUGAAGGAAAAAGGGAAAAUGUAUUUCAAAGUAUAUUCUCCCAGUUUUCCUUAGAGACUGUCUUUCAUCAUUCUUUUUCACUCCAAUGCAAUUGUAUCCUUGCUCAACUAUCUUUUUAAUAGUGUAGGGAAAUUACAACACAUGAGGCUUAGUACAUUAUGGAUGGUUAUUUACAAUAAAUAUAUCAAGAGUAUAAUUUUUAAAGCAAUUUUCAUAUGUAAUCACAAUAGGAACUGUUACAGAAAACAAUUUCUGAGAAUUGUUUCAACUUGUGGAAUUCUCUGCCACGAGAUGUGAUGUCAGCCAACAACCUGGAUGGCUUUAAGAGGGUUUGGAUAACUUCAUGGAGGAGAGGUCUACUAGUCGUAGGGCUACAGGCCACCUCCAGCCUCAAAGGCAGGAUGCUUCUGAGUACCAGUUGUGGGGGAGUAACAGCAGGAGAGAGGGCAUGCCCUCAACUCCUGCCUGUGGCUUCCAGCGGCAUCUGGUGGGCCACUGUGCGAAACAGGAUGCUGGACUAGAUGGGCCUUGAGCCUGAUCCAGCAGGGCUGUUCUUAUGUUUUUAUGUAAGAACAGGAUCCCAUUCUGAAAAACAGAUCAACUCUUUUUCUUCAAAACUGUAUUUAUAGUCAGCAUUCAUGCAGUGUGAUUCUAAGAGUGUAUACUCAGAAGUCCCACAGAGUUCACUGGAACUUAUUCCCUAGUAAAUGUGCUGAGGAUUGCAGCCAUAACCACAUUCUUUCUGGUUUUCCUUUCUUACCACAAGCUCUUAAACAUUGUUUUUCACACAUUAAUAAGAGACAAUCAUAACUGAGAUUUUAAUUUAAAAUAUGCAAAUUUCUGCUGACGUUAUCCAAGAAAGUGAUUUCUGUUGACAUCAUCCAAGAGAUAUCCCAUGCUAAACAAAUGAGGCAAGUUCCUCCUACCACUUUAGUAUAUUAGAUGCAACUUGAUAAUAACUUGAUAAUCAAUAUUGAUAACUUGAUAAUCAGUAUUAGACACAUGUAUUUAUGACGUUAUAUUUACUUCUGGGGAAACUAAAAAGUAAAAUCUUAAAUGAGUUGUCCACAGUCCUGAUUCCAUGUAAUCAUUUUUGUGGUUUAUAACAGCUUUGCACAGUAAACUGCAACACUACAAAAUAAAAAAUGAAUAUAAUGGAUAAAAAUAUUGAGUGUAAACAGAGUUUUUAUAAUGGUAUAUUGCAUUUUAACAUGUAUUAUAUUAAUGAAAGACUGAGAAGCAGAUUAUGCUCUCUGCAAAUAUUGUUUUCUUUUAACUUCUUAAUUAAAAAUAAUGAAUAUAAGAACAUUUAGUAGUAGUAUUGAUUUGUUAACCUGUUAUCUUUAGGUAUAAGUUAAUAAAAAUAUCUAAAAAUAAUAGGUUAACAAUACUGCUCCUAAAUGAUCUCAUUUUCAUGUAGUGAUCAUGCCACCAGAUACUGUUUCUUAAUUGUUCUUGGUGGAGCUACUGACAAUUAAAGUGGCAAUGACUGUUUCUAUGGUCAUUCAAGUAUGAGGUGAUCUUAACUAAUAUGGUGUUGAAUUACUGAUGCUGCUCAAGGGGUGAAAUAUACUGAAAGCAGAUAGUUCCAGGCUUUUAAUUUUAUAUUUUAUGCUAAUUGCCUCUUUAAUCUGGCACCAGAUUAAUCCUACUCACCUACUCAGCUGCUAGCCUUGGAUAUAGACCCAAGUGAGCUGCUGAUCGAUGACCAGGGUUCUGGCAGUUUCUGGCUAAGUGCAUCAGUUUGAAGUUAGACAUCAGCAGAUGUGAUGGGCAGAGUAACACGGGCAGUUCUGUACCACCUGCACCGCUGCAAGCAUCUGAAACAAAGCCCUCAGUGUUGUAUAAAAAUGCCUUAGCACAAAUGCCCUAGUGCUCUUGCACUUCUGCAAUAUUUCCAUUAUUUCCACUGGAAUGAUUGUUUUGCAAGUGCAUUGCACGACUUUACAUACUAGUGCAAGAGCACAACACUGCAAAUGUUUAGACACUCGCAGCAGCGCAGGUGGUUCAGAACCACCUGUAUUACUCUGCUCAUCAUGUCAACCAUCAUUGUAUAGUCUGAACAUUCUUACCCUUACCCACAGAAAGACUGGGACAUAGAUCACAGCUGAGAAGCCAUUUCCCCUCUGCAUGCCAGCCUGAGGUACUCUAACACAAAAUAAAUUCUGCUUUAGAGAAAUUACAUGUUUUGCCAUUUUAGAGUAGGUGCUCAAAACAGCAGCAGAGCUGCAGCUUCUACAGAAAAUAGAUGUUGCCCAAGCUGAUGCCAACAUUUCCAAGUGAUCUGUGCUGCUGUAGAUGUCUAGGGAAACACUGGCAGUCUUGAACAAGAGCACAGUUGUGCAAAUACUUAAAGUUAUGCUUAUUAUUUUUUUUAUUAUUUAUUAUUAAAAAAUUUAUACCGCCCUUCCAAAAGGCACAGGGCGGUUUACAUUAAAACACCAUUAAAAUCAGUUAAUAAUUAAAACAAAAAUUAUAAAGCAUAAAACAAUGAUUAACAAUUAAAAACAUCAUAAAACAACAAUUAAAUAAUCAGAACAAUUUAAAAACAAGUUUUAAAAAGCUGAGAAAGCCUGGUUGAAGAGAUGUGUUUUCAGGUGUUUUCUGAAAAUUGCCAGAGAUGGGGAGGAUCGUAUCUCAGCAGGGACCACAUUCCACAAUCUCGGGGUAGCAGCCGAGAAGGCCCGUCUCUGUGUAGCCACCAAACGAGUUGGUGGCAACUGGAGACAGACCUCCUCAAGUGACCUCAACGGCUGGUGGGGCUCAUAGCGAUGAAGACGCUCUCUUAAAUAUUAUGCAUUUUGGAAGUGCAAUUUACCUUGGAAAGAAUGAAGUUGUGCUCCUGAAAUGCUGAUGUGCAAUUUUAAUUAUUUGUGCGGUUGCGCUCUUGCACAAGACCAGCAAUUCCUCAGAUGCCCACAGCAGCACAGACCAAUCAGAAAUUCAAUAAGCCUUUGCAACAUGAGGGCCACUGACUUUUGUUCUCUAACAUCUCCAUAGUACAAAUUACAACAGUCUGUCACUUGUUGAAGCUAGCUGUGAAAUAUCCCUUAUAGUCCAACUGUCAGCAGCUAUGGAUGAAGCCUCCUCAGCCAUGACAAUUUAUUUCUUUGCACUCAAGAUUAUUAAAAGGACAAAGCACUGAUCUGUAUGCUUCUCAAAUAUUGAAGUACUCUUGCCAGAGGCAUCUCUUGGAUCUUCUCAUAGGGGAAGGGAGUGGAACUGACCAGAGUAUCUAUGCUGAUUUUCCAUCAUAGUUGAAAAUUUUUAACCACUCUAAAUAUACUUCAUUUCAACAAUAUAUUCUCUUUUAAAGUUAAACUUAGUUUUAAACUUAGUUUUAAAGUUUUAAACUUAGAAGGCACACUGUCAGCAGUGUGUGGGUUAAAUGCCUAUCUGUUUUUAUUUUCUUAAUAUACAAAUAGUGUUUUGUAACAGUGUAUUUGCAUGUAUGUCAGGCAAUAUAGUUGUUGCAUACCCAGGAGAAAUAUAAACAAUCUGCUGUAUUCCUCUGCAUAAAUAUCUUAGAGUAUUUGCCUAUCUAUGUCGUUUUUUGCGUGUGUUUUUGCUUGUUGUUGUUACUGGGUUCUCAAGAGUUUAUUUCUUCAUUUUGACACAAUUGCCAAAGAGGAUACAAUUCUGUUCUUGAGAUUAUACAAUCCAUGCACUGUGAAACCCUGAUACCCUUUUUUCCUAGUUUAUGUAACAUUAGUGGUUUAAUAAGCAACCACAUUAGUGUCUCAGUUCAAGUAAAAAUAGUUCUUUUUAUGCUUCGAGGAAGGGGAAAGGGCAUAUUGUAUACAGUGUCCACUAUAUUAACCUCCCAGAACAUUUUUAAAAAUAGGUAUCAUAUGAAUUUUAAAAAUAUGGACACAAGAUUAAAAGCUAUUCAGUACAUAUACUGUAUGUCUUAUGUGUGCAUAGGUAUGCAACAUAAUUUGUUUCUAGGUCCAAUCAAAGGUGCUGCUUUUGGUCUUUAAAGCCCUUAAUGGUUUGGGCCCUAGAUAUCUGAAGGACCGCCUGCUCCCAAGGGUUUCUGCCUACUUGACAAGAUCAUCAGAGGGGGCUCUCCUCCACGUGCCAACAGUGAGAGAGGUUUGGCUGGGCUGUCGAGCACAUGGGACAGGGCCUUCUCAUGCCCCCAGGCUUUGGAAUGCUCUCCCAGCUGGCAUCCGCUCCUCAGCUCCAUCACAGUUUUUAGAAAGCAAGUUAAAAUGUGGCUCUUCACCCAGACUUUUAUAUGAGAAUACAGUUUUUACUGCUGCUACUGCUUUGUGUUUUUUGUGUUACUGCUUUAUAUAGGUUCUUAAACUUUUAAAUAGAGAUAUUAUUUUUAUAUUUAAUUUCUGUACUUGUAUUUUAACUGUGAAUUGUUUUAUUUAUAUUCUAAUCUAAACUGCUUUGGGAUUAUUUUAAUGAAAAGCAGUAUAGAAACUGAACAAUAAAAAAACAAAAACUAUA